AUUGAACGCUGGCGGCAGGCUUAACACAUGCAAGUCGAGCGGAGUGGCGAACGGGUGAGUAAUGUAUCGGAACGUGCCCAGUAGCGGGGGAUAACUACGCGAAAGCGUAGCUAAUACCGCAUACUAUUGGAGCGGCCGAUAUCGGAUUAGGUAGUUGGUGGGGUAACGGCUCACCAAGGCGACGAUCCGUAGCUGGUUUGAGAGGACGACCAGCCACACUUGGACUGAGACACGGCCCAGACUCCUACGGGAGGCAGCAGUGGGGAAUUUUGGACAAUGGGGGAAACCCUGAUCCAGCCAUCCCGCGUGUAUGAAGAAGGCCUUCGGGUUGUAAAGUACUUUCAGCGGGGAGGCGUUACCCGCAGAAGAAGCACCGGCUAACUCCGUGCCAGCAGCCGCGGUAAUUC
RNAcentral lists this ribosomal RNA (407 nucleotides) under uncultured bacterium. RNAcentral's name for it is "partial 16S ribosomal RNA". It matches the Rfam family "Bacterial small subunit ribosomal RNA", at positions 30 to 526 of the family's 1533-position model. The record is from RNAcentral.